This 73-nucleotide transfer RNA is filed under the name Dallia pectoralis (Alaska blackfish). Its description in RNAcentral is "tRNA-OTHER". It matches the Rfam family "tRNA". Rfam says of the family: Transfer RNA (tRNA) molecules are approximately 80 nucleotides in length. Their secondary structure includes four short double-helical elements and three loops (D, anti-codon, and T loops). Further hydrogen bonds mediate the characteristic L-shaped molecular structure. tRNAs have two regions of fundamental functional importance: the anti-codon, which is responsible for specific mRNA codon recognition, and the 3' end, to which the tRNAs corresponding amino acid is attached (by aminoacyl-tRNA synthetases). tRNAs cope with the degeneracy of the genetic code in two manners: having more than one tRNA (with a specific anti-codon) for a particular amino acid; and 'wobble' base-pairing, i.e. permitting non-standard base-pairing at the 3rd anti-codon position. The record is from RNAcentral. Lineage: Eukaryota; Metazoa; Chordata; Actinopteri; Esociformes; Umbridae.
GACCAUGUGGCCUAAUGGAUAAGGCGUCUGACUUCGAAUCAGAAGAUUCAGGGUCCGAGUCCCUUCAUGGUUA